CAGUCGCCGCGGUAAUACGAAGGGUGCAAGCGUUACUCGGAAUUACUGGGCGUAAAGCGUGCGUAGGUGGUGGUUUAAGUCCGUUGUGAAAGCCCUGGGCUCAACCUUGGAAUUGCAGUGGAUACUGGGUCACUAGAGUGUGGUAGAGGAUAGUGGAAUUUCCGGUGUAGCAGUGAAAUGCGUAGAGAUCGGAAGGAACAUCUGUGGCGAAGGCGACUAUCUGGGCCAACACUGACACUGAGGCACGAAAGCGUGGGGAGCAAACAGGAUUAGAUACCCCUGUAGUCCCUGUCUCUUAUAC
RNAcentral lists this ribosomal RNA (301 nucleotides) under uncultured bacterium. Its description in RNAcentral is "partial 16S ribosomal RNA". It matches the Rfam family "Bacterial small subunit ribosomal RNA", at positions 509 to 807 of the family's 1533-position model. The record is from RNAcentral.